Molecule: non-coding RNA, 26 nt
Filed under: Mus musculus (house mouse)
Lineage: Eukaryota; Metazoa; Chordata; Mammalia; Rodentia; Muridae
Source: RNAcentral
UGCAGUGUUCAUUUGGGCUUCACCUU